Molecule: long non-coding RNA, 1120 nt
Organism: Ostrinia nubilalis (European corn borer)
Lineage: Eukaryota; Metazoa; Arthropoda; Insecta; Lepidoptera; Crambidae
Exons: 3
Source: RefSeq, a predicted model, not a curated record
GUAGAGCUUUUUUAGCAGUCUAAUACUUAGGCCUAAACCUUAACUUACGUUUUACUACAAAAACAAACUUUUAGUUAGUUUUAACUUACAUUUACUUAUUUAUUGGUUACAACAAAAACAAACUUUUAGUUCGUUUUAUCCUUAACUAAAGUUCAAAUUGUUUAUCAUUUUUCACUUCAAUUCAAUUCACUGGCCCAAGAAGAUUCAUUUUACCCAGAAAGAUAAAAUUAUCGCAUUAUGCGUGCUACUUUGUUCGUUAAAUCAUAAAACUAAGUACUUAUAUGAAAUAGCAAAAAUACUCGUAUUAAAAAGAGUUGGACACCGAUUUUAACAACGCAUCAAAAAUCUACGUCGUACUAAGUACAUGAAUACACUAUUUUUGUACCUCGUCUCGAGUCAAAUAAUAUCUACUAUUAAUAUUUUCAUUAGUUAAAUUUUAAAAGAAGUGACAGCUUUUUUAAUAAAACCAAUUCGAUUUUCAAUACGAUACGAUUCACAAAUUAAUAGUAGAAUUUUAUAUUAAGCGCCUGUCCAUUACUACCUACUUGAUGCUGUGAUUAAAAAAAAACUAAUUGUUUUGAUAUCGCGCACGUUGGUGGCGGCACCGUCGCUGCAGUAUCUACACAGCCCAGACAUAUUGAUUUUUUCAAAUUCGCGCAAGUGCAGGCUGCAGGCAGACCCCUACGGCCAGGCUCUCACCUCUUCAGCGCUACGGCCAGUUGCUACGUCCUUCAAGAAGAUUCUUCAGCAGCUCAGGUCAUGGGCGACGAUCAGCUAGCAAAAUACCUCGAUAACCUCAGGAGCAGUGACGACAGAUGCAGGCCGUGCAGUGGAUUAUAUUUCUUCUUAGGCCAAAUAAUACCCGUUGAGAUCGUGGAGCUCGUGACUUUCUCAGUGAGCUACCUGCUGAUAGCAUUCGCUUUCUAUAUGGUGUGCAACGGGCGCAUGUUUUUCUGAGGGCAAGAGCGCGCACGGUGGGUGCUGUGCGACCGUAUUUGGUACCGUUGGAUAGAGCUCGUAAAGCACUUUCAGGAUCAGUAAUCAGUUUUUGGAUAUCUUUUAUAGUUAAGAAAUAAUGGAGUGAGAUCACUUAUCGUUUCCACCCUGUAUAAUAAUUGUU